CCUGGCGGACGGAUUAGCUAACUUUGCGUUUACUCUAGACUUGGGUCUUCAGUUUUUGGGUAUUGCUACGGGGUGUGUUGAGGAGAUUGUUGACGAAGAUGCUCGUGGAAUGGCGUUCCCACAAAGAAUUUGUGUUUAAUUUUUUAAUUUUUUCUUUUUCUUUUAAUUAGGGAGGUUUCCUGCGUUUGUAUCACCAAAAAAAAAACUGAUUAUUGAGUGUCACAUGUGACUUCAUCAUGGGCAAUUAAACAAUUUAGUAGGUCUCAAAAGCAAGUAACAAGAAAACUUUACAUAGCACUGAUUAUUUAAUUUAUUAGCAUGGAAUACAUACAUAUAUUUGAGUAUGGGCAACUAAAAACCUGAAAAACAACACUUAUAAUUAAUUUUUGUAAGGAAUAUACAAGGGUUUUAUUUCUCUGUUCUUUAGAUUCUUCUCACAUGAAAUCUAAAUUAGUAAAUAUACUCAACAGAAGGGAGGUAAACAUAAUGCUCAAUCAAUGGUUUUAAUAUAAAGUAACUUUAGAGAAAACAAAGGGUGUGAAGCUGAUUAUCACCAAGAUGUUCACUGAGCUUGAGACAAGACAGCAGUAAUUGCGUGAAAAGUGCAGACACAGAAAUGCAUACUUGCUAAUUACUAUGUUGCAAAGUUUAUUGACAUAAAGUAAAAGAAAAAGGAAUCAUGUGAACGGUGAAAAAGAAAAGAAAAAAAAUCCUCGUAAGGACUCUCAAACAUUGGCUACCUUAGACUAAUUGACAAUUAUCAUAGUUACCAUAGUUAGUUGAGUGACGGUUUUAAAUUUUAACUAAUAAUUUUCCAUACUCUAAAGAUUUUAAUCCGUGGUAUUAUUUCGGGGAUUUUUUUUAUUUUUUUCUGUAAAAUUACAUAUUUUUGGAAUUUAUAGAUGUAUCAGAGUUACUUUUUAAGAUUGUAUAAAUCUAAUAUUAAUUAAAUCAGUUUCAUUUACCA
This 967-nucleotide long non-coding RNA is filed under the name Capsella rubella. Its description in RNAcentral is "long non-coding RNA (CRUB_LNC001127)". Lineage: Eukaryota; Viridiplantae; Streptophyta; Magnoliopsida; Brassicales; Brassicaceae. The record is from RNAcentral.